This 473-nucleotide ribosomal RNA is filed under the name uncultured bacterium. Its description in RNAcentral is "SSU rRNA". It matches the Rfam family "Bacterial small subunit ribosomal RNA", at positions 26 to 518 of the family's 1533-position model. The record is from RNAcentral.
AGGACGAACGCUGGCGGCGUGCUUAACACAUGCAAGUCGAGCGGAAAGGCCCUUCGGGGUACUCGAGCGGCGAACGGGUGAGUAACACGUGAGUAACCUGCCCCUAGCUCUGGGAUAGCUCCGGGAAACCGGGAUUAAUACCAGAUACGACCACUUUAGACAUCUGUCGUGGUGGAAAGGAUUCCGGCUAGGGAUGGGCUCGCGGCCUAUCAGCUUGUUGGUGGGGUAACGGCCUACCAAGGCGACGACGGGUAGCCGGCCUGAGAGGGCGACCGGCCACACUGGGACUGAGACACGGCCCAGACUCCUACGGGAGGCAGCAGUGGGGAAUAUUGCGCAAUGGGCGAAAGCCUGACGCAGCGACGCCGCGUGGGGGAUGAAGGCCUUCGGGUUGUAAACCCCUUUCAGCAGGGACGAAGCGAAAGUGACGGUACUGCAGAAGAAGCGCCGGCUAACUACGCGCCAGCAGCCGC